Molecule: small RNA, 146 nt
Filed under: Frankia sp. AcoPraII.1
Lineage: Bacteria; Bacillati; Actinomycetota; Actinomycetes; Frankiales; Frankiaceae
Description: ydaO-yuaA
Rfam family: c-di-AMP riboswitch aptamer (ydaO/yuaA leader)
About the family: This family represents a conserved RNA structure found upstream of the ydaO and yuaA genes in Bacillus subtilis and related genes in other bacteria. The ydaO/yuaA element is thought to act as a genetic "off" switch for the ydaO and yuaA genes in its native state. It is believed that the element may be triggered during osmotic shock leading to activation of ydaO, a predicted amino acid transporter gene, and members of the yuaA-yubG operon which code for KtrA and KtrB K+ transporters.
Source: RNAcentral
UGGCCGAGCGCACCGACAUGGGCAGGAGUGGGGGAACCACUACCGGGCGUCUCCGGACGUCCUUGGGGUUAAGUCGGCUCACGCCGGCCGGGCCAUCCCAGUCCGAACCCGACAGCUCACCCCGCAGGCGACACGGGAUUGGACUG